RNAcentral lists this ribosomal RNA (467 nucleotides) under uncultured bacterium. Its description in RNAcentral is "partial 16S ribosomal RNA". It matches the Rfam family "Bacterial small subunit ribosomal RNA", at positions 28 to 507 of the family's 1533-position model. The record is from RNAcentral.
GACGAACGCUGGCGGCGUGCUUAACACAUGCAAGUCGAACGGAAAGGCUCCAGCUUGCUGGAGUACUCGAGUGGCGAACGGGUGAGUAACACGUGGGUAAUCUGCCCUGCACUCUGGGAUAAGCCUGGGAAACUGGGUCUAAUACUGGAUAUGACCUUUCUCCUUAUGGGGUUUGGUGGAAAGUUUUUCGGUGUAGGAUGAGCCCGCGGCCUAUCAGCUUGUUGGUGGGGUGAUGGCCUACCAAGGCGACGACGGGUAGCCGGCCUGAGAGGGUGAUCGGCCACAUUGGGACUGAGAUACGGCCCAGACUCCUACGGGAGGCAGCAGUGGGGAAUAUUGCACAAUGGGCGGAAGCCUGAUGCAGCGACGCCGCGUGAGGGAUGACGGCCUUCGGAUUGUAAACCUCUUUCAGCAGGGACGAAGCGUAAGUGACGGUACCUGCAGAAGAAGCACCGGCUAACUAUGUG